RNAcentral lists this ribosomal RNA (253 nucleotides) under uncultured bacterium. RNAcentral's name for it is "partial 16S ribosomal RNA". It matches the Rfam family "Bacterial small subunit ribosomal RNA", at positions 524 to 776 of the family's 1533-position model. The record is from RNAcentral.
GACAGAGGAUGCAAGCGUUAUCCGGAAUGAUUGGGCGUAAAGCGUCUGUAGGUGGCUUUUUCAGUCUGCCGUCAAAUCCCAGGGCUUAACCCUGGACAGGCGGUGGAAACUACCAAGCUGGAGUACGGUAGGGGCAGGGGGAAUUUCCGGUGGAGCGGUGAAAUGCGUAGAGAUCGGAAAGAACACCAACGGCGAAAGCACUCUGCUGGGCCGACACUGACACUGAGAGACGAAAGCUAGGGGAGCGAAUGGG